Amphibalanus amphitrite is the source of this 5846-nucleotide RNA transcript. It is a transcript of the gene named serine/threonine-protein kinase par-1-like, with no coding region annotated. The record is from RefSeq and is a predicted model, not a curated record. The transcript is spliced from 17 exons. NCBI's taxonomy places the organism in Eukaryota, Metazoa, Arthropoda, Thecostraca, Balanomorpha, Balanidae.
UCUUCCCACAGCCCCAUCUACCUUUCCGGCCAGCGCGGCUCUCCUGAGCCUGAAAGGAGCUGAGACUCUGGACUCCUACUGAAAACCGCCAGACUCAGCUCGCGGCGAUGUCCUCUGCAAUCCGCACCAAUGCAGUGUCCGUCCCAUCGACCUGCUUUGGCUUCAGCACCGAUCAGCUGAGCGACCAUCGAUCGCGCCGCGUAGUACCGCCGCGACUGGGCGGUGGUAAUCGGUGCGGGCCGGCGGACGGGCGGCGGCGCACGGCGGCCGGCCAGUCCCCACUGGAGUGAGCUGGGGUGAGGUGUGUCUUUCGGAGCUGGGAGCGGUCAGCGCCCGCACGCGUGGAGUUGACGCGUGGUGUUUACGCAGUGCGGCUCAGUGGGUGUGUGGGACUGGGCAGCGCGAGGAGAGUGGUGGAACUGCUAUCUGCGGCGUGUUGAUCGUCCUCUGGAUCUACUGGACGAGUUUCUCGGACAGCCGGACUGUUGUCGGUGGCGGCGGUGCCAGCUUUAGGAGUGUGACCGGGCUGGGGCGGUGACCUGACCGGGUCAUCCCGGACCGAAACCAGCAGCCAUGGUGGUCUCCGAGGGCCAGAUCAGCAAUAUCAUGGGCGGCAUGCAAGGCAACGCCGGCAUCCGCCUCAACAACCACAAGCACAAGCUGCGCCACAGAUUCGACAUAGUAAAGAAGCUGGGCCAGGGCACCUACGGCAAGGUUCAACUUGCUAUCAAUAAGGAGACAGGACAGGAUGUUGCAAUCAAGACAAUCCGGAAAGCCAAGAUUGAAACUGAAAAGGAUUUGAUCCGGAUCCGCCGGGAGAUUCAGAUCAUGUCCUCUGUGACUCAUCCACAUAUCAUCCACAUAUUUGAAGUGUUUGAGAACCGCGACAAGAUGGUUCUGGUGAUGGAGUACGCCGCCGGCGGUGAGCUGUACGACUACCUCAGUGAGAAGAAGGUCCUCUCGGAGAGCGAGGCGCGCAGGAUAUUCCGCCAGGUGGCCAGCGCCUGCUACUACUGCCACAAGCACAAGAUUUGCCACCGUGACCUGAAGCUGGAGAAUAUUCUACUCGACGAGUUCGGCAAUGCCAAGAUCGCCGAUUUCGGUCUGAGUAACGUGUUCGAGGACAGCCGCCUGCUGUCGACGUACUGCGGCUCGCCGCUGUACGCCUCUCCGGAGAUCGUGCGGGGCACGCCCUACACGGGCCCCGAAGUGGACUGCUGGUCCCUCGGUGUCCUCCUGUACACACUCGUCUACGGAGCGAUGCCGUUUGACGGCUCCAACUUCAAGAAACUGGUCAAACAGAUCACAGCGGGAGAUUUCUACGAGCCGCAGAAACGGUCCCCCGCCUCCGAGCUGAUCCACGCCCUGCUGACGCCGUCGCCGCAGCAGCGCGCCACCAUGGUGGACGUGUGUGACCACUGGUGGGUGAACCAGGACGAGGAGAUCAACUGUCUGGAGGCGGCCGAGGAGCUGGCCAACCAGACACCGGUGCGACUCGACCUGCUACUCUCACUGGCGCCUCAGGAGCCCGACAAGGAGCACGUCAUGGCGCAGCCGGCGGAGGCGAUCGUGCCUCCGGCGGCCGACACUGAGCCGUCCCAGGCACAGUUCGGCGCCUCCGACUCUCUAUCCCUGGCCAGCAGCGCGAUGGAGAUGGAGCCGGGCGCCUCACCAGCUCCCGGUGACCAGCCCACCGAGCCGGCUACAGCCGACAAGGCGGCCAAACGGGCACUCGAUGAGGGAGAGGAGAAAGCAACACGGAAGGCGGAGAAGGCGCGGAAGAAGGAGGGUGAGAAGGCGGCCAAGAAGAAGAAGAAGCCGCCGUCGGAGCCGCCACUGCCUGAGGAGGAUGUGUCAAUGGGAGAGGCGGCGGCUGCGGCGGGCGGGGAGGUGCAGAGUGCCGGUCAAAGGGUGCCUGAUGGCGAGCAGAAGGCUGCUGAGCCGGUGUCUGAGAAGGCAGCAGUGGCUGCAGAGGAGCCCCAGCGCCCGGAGGAGGAAGAAGGGGAGGGAGAGUCGCGACCGGAGCCGCGUGGGGAGGCACCUGCGGAACCGGAGCCGACCGAGGAAGACUUCCCCGCGGUGGAGGUGCCGCCGCAGCAGCCUCAGGUCACUCAGAGCGCGCCUGAGCCCGAGGUAGUACAGAAGGGACAAUCACCCGUUGGCACUGUGGCCGAGGAGGGUGUUGCGGAGCCCCCCAUCCAGCCGUCACAGGCUGAAACCGGGGAAGGUAAAUCAAAGGCAGUUCCUAGUGCAGAAGGUAGCUCAGAUAGUAAGGUUGCUCAAGAAGUCAUAUCGCCAGAACAGGCACCAGAAGGCCCUGUUCAUACGAGUAGUAAAAUGUCACUGAAACUAGCGGAACCCAAAGAGAAGACUGCGACUCCUGCCGAUAUUAUUGCUGAAGCGGAGUCGAGUCGCCCUGAAGCUGUGAUCACUGAGGACAGUUAUGCACCACCGGAAGUUCAGGCUGAGCCCGUUCAGACCGAGCCCAGUGUAGAGACUGGUGAUGAGAAACCAAAGGUAGAGGCCAUCACGCCUAAGUCAGACCAAAAGGAAAAAUCGCCUGUGCGGACAAGUGAACCAUCUACCACUCCCAAGAAGAGCAAGAUUCCAGUGGUAGAUACCAAAUUCUCAGACAGUCAAACCAAAAAGCCUAAAGCUCCGCAAGAGCCUGCUGCAAAGGUGACUUCGUCUAUUCAGGAGCCUCAGAUCAGUGUGAAGAAAUCUGCUUCCUCAAAGCCUGAUGAAACACCGAGCAAGAAGCCAGCCCGCAGUCCCUCUGACAUGAAGCAAGAUGUGCCUGUCCAGACUAGGAAGCCCACUCCGCCAAAGGAAGAUGUCUCAAGUGUAGCGAAGGACAAGGAUGCUGUUAUAAAACCUGAAGAGAAAGUCAAAGAUCAGCCCGCGAAGCCGGCUAAAAUCGCUAGGCCGUGCAACAAAGAAGAGAAAGAAGAAAAGAAACCACAAGCGCCCGAAGAGACCACAAAGGUCGCCAAACCAGCUGCUAAAAAGCCUGAGGUCACUAAGCCCGCUACGAAGCCGGCAGAGGAGGUUUCAGCACCUCCAGAAAAGCCAAAGGAACACUGGAGGCCUAAGCCUGAGGAGAAACCGAAACCCAAGGCGGCGAAAUCUGAUGAGAAGUCAGCUGCUGAUAAAACUCCCAAAGCUAGUGAGAAGAUGCCUGAGCGUCGCUCGCCGGCGCGUGCCCCUGUCGAGCGAGUGUCCUCUCUACCGUCUGACACUUCAGGGGCCCGCCCCUCGCCCAUCGACACACGGGCUCCCCCAGUGCCUCCGGCCAUGGCAGCAGAGAUUAACCGGCUGUCCCGCGUCUCCAGUGAGGGCACCCAGCGUCCGGCGCCAGCUGCCCCGCGCACUGAGGACCGAGCGCAGAGUCUGCCGCCGCGGCGCGCACCCAGCAAGGAGUACAUCAUCCCCAUCCGACUGGUGGGUGAGGAUGAGGACACUAAACCGGCCGCCGCGCCCGCCCCGGCUCCGACACCGGCAUCAGAGCCAGCGGCGGCGGCCGCUCCUCCGAGCGUCACACCAGCACCGGCAGAACCGCCGGCCCCUGCCGCCGCUCCUGCGCCAGCCCCUGCUGCCGCUCCUGCGCCAGCCGCUGCCUACCGUCGCCGUCAGAAGCCGGUCUCCCACACCAGUUCUCUUCGCUCCCUGCCUGAAGACUCGUCUAGUGACGACGGUAGUGGCACUGCCGAGGAACUGGCUCCGCCUCCUGCCAGGGAAGCGCUGCGCAAGUCUCCGCGCGAGUUUAUCAUCCCGAUCGCGCUGGAGGGAGGCGGCACGAUGACGCCGACGGUACAGGCGCAGACCAAGGAGGAGGACCGGGAGAAGGGCGGCAGUCUGUUCCGGACGCACCAGAUGUCUGGCCAGCGCCGGCUGGGAAACUUGCUGGGCGACCGGUCCUCGCGUGAAGACCUGUGGGACGCGCCUUUGGGCCUGCGGAGACUCAGUUCAAUGCGGUGUUUCGACGAUCGGCCGCUGCUCGAUAUGGGAAGCUGGCCUUCCGAGCGGCGAAGACUGUCCCGUCCCCGUAUGACUUCCUCUACGGAGCGGGCGGACAGUCUCAGUUCGGGCGGCGAGGAUGAUGACGACGAUCAGUUCGACUUCUUCACCGCCGAGUCCCUGUUCGGCAACCUCAUGGACAGGAUGAAGAGCCUCACCAAGCGCAUGGACAUGGACGGCAACCCGGCCAAGCGCUCGCUGCUGAUGGGUGAGCCGCUGCGUCUAGACCGGACGCGCAGUGCCGGCGGCUCCCUCUCGCAGCGAGGUCUGCCCGCCAUGCCCGAUCUCUGGGACAUGCACGGACCCGUCAAGUCGCUGUUCGAUAAGCCCAUGACGUUCCGACACGGCUCGCUGUUUGAUCAGUCGCCGUUCUCCAGUAGGCCUCCUCGUGUGUUCCAGUUUUAUCAACACUCGUCUUUCGGCUCGCACCCGGCUGCGUCGGCGACGUCGACGGCGGCGACGGCUGAGAGCUCCGACAGCGGCGGCAGUCAGCACGAGGAUGAGGCCGCGCCGGCCGGCGGAACGCGCCACAGGACCACCGUCGUCAGGAGGACGGGGUCCGCCUCACAGUCGCCCCCAAAAACGAAAGUGUCAACAAUCACGUUCAAGAUAAAGCCGAAAGACAGCCAUUAGUGUAGCCGGGCGAGUACUUUUGGCGGCCUACCUUUGACGGCCGUCUCUGACGGCGGCCUCAGGACGACCACUGCAGGGAGACUCGUAUAGACUGGCCCGGUGUUGGCCGCAAACGAUCUUCGGGCGGCCGAGGGCGCGCCUAGAUCCGGACUCUGCCGCGCCGGAGGUGGGGGCGCCACCCGUUCUGCCCGCCGCCAGCACGGCUGUCCAAUCGUCUGGUGCUUGCCGGGACGUUCUGCUGACGUCAUUGGCCCGUUUGAUGACGUCAUCGGCCCCCAACAGCCGCUACGAGGCUGCCCGCUCUGAUGGCUGUGUGACCAGUUCGUCGGAGGCCUGCUCUAAUGGCUGUGCUGCCGGGCGCUGAUUCGCACGGACUGCGCGAGAUGCGGCAUUGAGCAAUGCCUACGGUGUGAAAUGAACUUUACCUGAGGCGUGAUUGUAUGUGAAACUCAAACCGCAGGAUUUAUUAGGUUUUGCGAUGCUCCAUUUUGUCGAAUAGAGAGACUGUGAGUUGAACGUUCGGGGUGGGGAGGGAAUAGUGUGUGUAUGUGGUGGGCUGGGGCGUUAACACCCUGAACUAACCACGAUUGGUCACUGGCUGACCGUGUACUACUAAUGGCAAUACGAAUGGAGGACUCGACGAGCUUUGUAUGACUGAUAGUGCUGAGUUCAAAUCAGUGGCCAUUAUUUCCUGACUCGUGAGAGACGGUAUUUAGAUGUUUUUCCGAAGCCUUUUUUGUUACGUACUCAGUACUCGUCAGCUGUUUUUAAGUCGUUCUUUUUUGCCGAUCCUUUGCAGAUAUAUUGCCACUGAUGCCAAUAUGCAAACAUUGACAGCAUUGUUUCUCUGCUUCACAUCUACAUAGCAAUGAUGUUACUGUUUCGGCAGCACCUUUUUUUCUGAACACGACAAACGAAGCAGAAGUCCCAGUGUCUUCCACUCUUAUCUCGUUUCUCUCUCUCUCUCUCUCUUCGUUUCUGGGACCUGUGUCUGCGUCGGUCUGUCUGAGGUUCGCGGCUCAGUCCAGUCUGCGCUCUCAGUGUCCGCUGUGGGCGCAGUAAGGCAUCUCGCUCUGCCCGCUGUGUGCGAAACGGGACGUCUGUCACUGAAGUCAAUUUGUAUGACUGCGUAGUGCGUAUGUGUUAACCCGUCUGUUGCAAUUGUUGAUUUUGAAAAUAAAGACAUUUUACUCGAA